This 415-nucleotide long non-coding RNA is filed under the name Prunus persica (peach). RNAcentral describes it as "long non-coding RNA (PPER_LNC007361)". Lineage: Eukaryota; Viridiplantae; Streptophyta; Magnoliopsida; Rosales; Rosaceae. The record is from RNAcentral.
AAAUAUCCAUUAUCUUUUUUAAUUCUAAAAUAAAUUUAAAAUUUUUUUAAAAAAAACCUCUCGCAUGCUCGGAAGCGCGUGCAGAGAGGCUAGUUAAUUAUAAAGUUGUAAGAUUUUGGAGCUAUUUUUAUAAGAGAAGUUUAUUUUAAACCCUGUUUCAGCUUUUUUUUUUUUUUUUUUUUACACACUUUACGUGGGAUUUCCACCGACUCCCGAAUCUGAGGCGUGACAUGCUUGGACCCAGCACUCAUCGCCCGCUUAUGCUCCUUCCACUUUAGUUGGUCCUGCUUUUUUGGUUUUUGGUUUUUAAACGAAGAGAUAUCGUUGAAACAAAAACUCAGUGCAAUAAAUCUUCCACCAAAGCAUCCAUACAUCUUCCACAAUACAUUUUAGAAUAAUUGAAGACUGCAAUUCG